Non-coding RNA from Schistosoma mattheei, 45 nucleotides. Lineage: Eukaryota; Metazoa; Platyhelminthes; Trematoda; Strigeidida; Schistosomatidae. The record is from Rfam.
AUCCAGCUGACGAAUCCCAAAUAGGACAAAACUCAUGUUCUGGAU